GAUGAACGCUAGCUACAGGCUUAACACAUGCAAGUCGAGGGGCAGCAUGGUCUUAGCUUGCUAAGGCCGAUGGCGACCGGCGCACGGGUGAGUAACACGUAUCCAACCUGCCGUCUACUCUUGGACAGCCUUCUGAAAGGAAGAUUAAUACAAGAUGGCAUCAUGAGUCCGCAUGUUCACAUGAUUAAAGGUAUUCCGGUAGACGAUGGGGAUGCGUUCCAUUAGAUAGUAGGCGGGGUAACGGCCCACCUAGUCUUCGAUGGAUAGGGGUUCUGAGAGGAAGGUCCCCCACAUUGGAACUGAGACACGGUCCAAACUCCUACGGGAGGCAGCAGUGAGGAAUAUUGGUCAAUGGGCGAGAGCCUGAACCAGCCAAGUAGCGUGAAGGAUGACUGCCCUAUGGGUUGUAAACUUCUUUUAUAAAGGAAUAAAGUCGGGUAUGGAUACCCGUUUGCAUGUACUUUAUGAAUAAGGAUCGGCUAACUCCGUGCCAGCAGCCGCGGUAAUACGGAGGACCCGAGCGUUAUCCGGAUUUAUUGGGUUUAAAGGGAGCGUAGAUGGAUGUUUAAGUCAGUUGUGAAAGUUUGCGGCUCAACCGUAAAAUUGCAGUUGAUACUGGAUAUCUUGAGUGCAGUUGAGGCAGGCGGAAUUCGUGGUGUAGCGGUGAAAUGCUUAGAUAUCACGAAGAACUCCGAUUGCGAAGGCAGCCUGCUAAGCUGCAACUGACAUUGAGGCUCGAAAGUGUGGGUAUCAAACAGGAUUAGAUACCCUGGUAGUCCACACGGUAAACGAUGAAUACUCGCUGUUUGCGAUAUACUGCAAGCGGCCAAGCGAAAGCGUUAAGUAUUCCACCGGGGGAGUACGCCGGCAACGGUGAAACUCAAAGGAAUUGACGGGGGCCCGCACAAGCGGAGGAACAUGUGGUUUAAUUCGAUGAUACGCGAGGAACCUUACCCGGGCUUAAAUUGCAGAUGAAUUACGGUGAAAGCCGUAAGCCGCAAGGCAUCUGUGAAGGUGCUGCAUGGUUGUCGUCAGCUCGUGCCGUGAGGUGUCGGCUUAAGUGCCAUAACGAGCGCAACCCUUGUUGUCAGUUACUAACAGGUUCCGCUGAGGACUCUGACAAGACUGCCAUCGUAAGAUGUGAGGAAGGUGGGGAUGACGUCAAAUCAGCACGGCCCUUACGUCCGGGGCUACACACGUGUUACAAUGGGGGGUACAGAGGGCCGCUACCACGCGAGUGGAUGCCAAUCCCCAAAACCUCUCUCAGUUCGGACUGGAGUCUGCAACCCGACUCCACGAAGCUGGAUUCGCUAGUAAUCGCGCAUCAGCCACGGCGCGGUGAAUACGUUCCCGGGCCUUGUACACACCGCCCGUCAAGCCAUGGGAGCCGGGGGUACCUGAAGUGCGUAACCGCGAGGAGCGCCCUAGGGUAAAACUGG
RNAcentral lists this ribosomal RNA (1439 nucleotides) under uncultured organism. Its description in RNAcentral is "16S ribosomal RNA". It matches the Rfam family "Bacterial small subunit ribosomal RNA". The record is from RNAcentral.